AGAUGGCGACCGGCGCACGGGUGAGUAACACGUAUCCAACCUGCCGAUAACUCGGGGAUAGCCUUUCGAAAGAAAGAUUAAUACCCGAUGGCAUAAUAGAACCGCAUGGUUUGAUUAUUAAAGAAUUUCGGUUAUCGAUGGGGAUGCGUUCCAUUAGGCAGUUGGUGGGGUAACGGCCCACCAAACCUUCGAUGGAUAGGGGUUCUGAGAGGAAGGUCUCCCACAUUGGAACUGAGACACGGUCCAA
RNAcentral lists this ribosomal RNA (247 nucleotides) under uncultured bacterium. RNAcentral's name for it is "partial 16S ribosomal RNA". It matches the Rfam family "Bacterial small subunit ribosomal RNA", at positions 86 to 334 of the family's 1533-position model. The record is from RNAcentral.